UAUAAAGAGCAAGAGAGUGUCCUUUCAACCUCAAGCCCUUCUCAUGAAUGAGUGUUAAUCUCAUUCAUGAGAGAAGGGUGGAGACUUCAUAAUUAAAUCACCUCCCAAAGGUCACACCUUUUAAUGCUGUUGAAUUGGGGAUUAAGUUUCAACAAAAAUGUUGAAGGGAACAUCAUCAUUCAAACCAUUGAAAUCCUCCAUCCCAGAGUGAUAUAUCUUGAAAAUUCACUUCAUUUGAGAGUCAUUUGUUUCUUGAUAACUGUUUUCCAGUUGCUACAUACUUCAUUAAAUUGAUGCAAAGGAAAAUCUGUUCAUUGCGCUCAAAAUUUUAGAGAAAGACAUGAGAAAUGAUGAAGAAGUGGAUGAUUGACAGAGAGUUCAGCUGAGUUUCAGGUUGGUGAGAGGAUGUCUAAUAUAGAGGGCACUCCAGGAGUGGGCCUAGCAGCCUUAGCUGGAUGAGGGGGUCCCAUGGAAGAGGAUUGCCUAACACAUGAUUCUGAACUUCAUGUAAGUAUGAAGGUAUACAAAUGGGGAGCUUACAGACCCGCGAAUGUGUUUCUCAACGACCUGGGGACCAUACACAAACAGAAACACUGUAUACUUAGGGUCAGGAUCAUCAAUAGCACUGACUUGGACCUUUACAUUUUGUCCCACAGGAAGGUCUUCGUGGACAAUAUGUCCAUGCAGCUGUGUCAUCUCCUAUAAUAACACCACCUCCUGCUGGAAUACCUCCUGAAGAACCUGCUUGAGGCUGUUUAAAAUGGUUAACUUUUUUUAUUUUUAAUAUAUAUGUAGAAGCAGACUCUAAAAUAAUGACAAAAGUAUGGUGUAGUAAAUGCAUAAACCAGAAACAUGGUCAUUUAUUAUCAGUAUUAAGUAUUAUGUACUGUAUAAAAUUGUACUGCUAUACUUUUAUACUACUACUAACACAGUAGGUUUGUUUACACCAGCAUCACCACAAACACAUAAGUAAUGCAUUGGGCUAGGACAUUAAGAUAGCUUGUCACCUAUUCUAUCAAUAUGUGAUAAAAAUUUUUCAGUUCCAUUUUAAUCUUAUGGAACCACUGCUGUCUAUGCGGCCUGUCGUUGACCCAAAUGUCAUUAUGUAGUGCAUAACUGUACUAAUACUAAGAAAAACUGAGUGUUUGUAUUUUAGAGUUAAGCACUGAUACGUUUACAAAUAAAAUAAUAUCUGACGUUUGUUUCAAAGGAAUCUGGAUAAGAGGAUAUGGUAAGAACAUAUAUGAAGUAAGAUUGACCAUGGGUUAAUAAUGUUUGAAGCUAAGUGGUAAAUAAUCUUUGUCCCAACCUUUGUGCAUAGUGGUUCUCAAAGAUGAUCCCUGCACUGGCAGCAACAGGAUCAUUUGAGAUCUUGUUUGAAAAGCAAACUCUGAGGAAACCACAUAUUUUGUAACCAAAACUCUGCACAUGAGGCCCAUUAGCCUGUGGUUUCACAAGCCCUUUAGGUAAUUUUGAUCCAAGCUAAUGUUUCUGAAUCACUGCUCCAGUAUAAAUAACAUAGAAUAUUGCAUGUAUUUGUAGAGACAUGACAUUUGUAUAUUUUUAAGUUAUCCAUAAUACAACGAAAAAUAAUGAAAACACCCAGGACAAAUGUUUCACUGGAAAAAUUUGAAUAAAGUUUGCAGACAUAAUUCUAAUCUUAAACACUUCCAAAAGACAGAAAAGGAUCUAUUCCCCAACCCAGUCUGAGAGUAGAAAAUCUUAGCCCUGGAAGUGAACAAAGAGUAUGAAAGAACUAUUAAAGCCAGUCUCACUUAUGAACAAAAGAUCCAGUAAUCUUAAGAAGUUAAGUAAAUCUAGCAUUAUGUAAAAAUAAUAAAAAUACAUCAGAACGAAGUUGUAUUUAUCCUAGAAAAUGAAAGUUGAUUUAACAUUAGAAACACUUUAAAAAGCAGGGAGGAUUAAAGGAGUUUGUUUAUUCUUAAUAUAUUCUGUUUGUUUAUUUCAGUGUUUUUAUAUGAGUAUCCUUAAAUUUUUAAACUGUGUUAAGAUGCAUGCUUAUACUUGUUUUACUUUUCUGACUGGAAGAUAAACCUAAAUAAAGGUUGUGAAAAAGAU
RNAcentral lists this long non-coding RNA (2079 nucleotides) under Homo sapiens (human). Its description in RNAcentral is "HSALNT0019187". The record is from RNAcentral. Lineage: Eukaryota; Metazoa; Chordata; Mammalia; Primates; Hominidae.